GGGCUCAUAGCUCAGCCGGUUAGAGCACUACUUUGAUAAGGUAGGGGUCGAAAGUUCGAAUCUUUCUGGGCCCA
RNAcentral lists this transfer RNA (74 nucleotides) under Chlamydomonas peterfii. Its description in RNAcentral is "tRNA-Ile". It matches the Rfam family "tRNA". From Rfam's summary of the family: Transfer RNA (tRNA) molecules are approximately 80 nucleotides in length. RNAcentral also lists the same sequence under 1 other name. The record is from RNAcentral. Lineage: Eukaryota; Viridiplantae; Chlorophyta; Chlorophyceae; Chlamydomonadales; Chlamydomonadaceae.